This 606-nucleotide ribosomal RNA is filed under the name Halechiniscus perfectus. RNAcentral's name for it is "eukaryotic LSU rRNA". It matches the Rfam family "Eukaryotic large subunit ribosomal RNA", at positions 674 to 1243 of the family's 3401-position model. The record is from RNAcentral. Lineage: Eukaryota; Metazoa; Tardigrada; Heterotardigrada; Arthrotardigrada; Halechiniscidae.
UUCAACAUGUACGCGAGUCGUUGGGUGUACUGAUAUACCUGAAGGCUUAGUGAAAGCAAUAUUUAUAUAUAUGGCAAGAUCUUAAACUUUUGUUUGUAAGUUUGAGCGCAUUGCCGGCCCGUACUUACUUGUUAGGUGCGGAGUUUGAGCGUACACGUUAAGACCCGAAAGAUGGUGAACUAUGCCUGAGCAGGAUGAAGCCAGGGGAAACUCUGGUGGAAGUCCGUAGCGAUUCUGACGUGCAAAUCGAUCGUCUGACUUGGGUAUAGGGGCGAAAGACUAAUCGAACUAUCUAAUAGCUGGUUCCCUCCGAAGUUUCCCUCAGGAUAGCUGGCGCAUUUUGACGGCAGUCUCUCCCGGUAAAGCGAAUGAUUAGAGGUCUUGGGAUCGAAACGAUCUCAACCUAUUCUCAAACUAUAAAUAGGUGAGAAGUUUGGCUUACUUAUAUUGUGAAGUCCAAACUGUUUUUACGGAUGCCUAUGUGCCAAGUGGGCCAUUUUUGGUAAGCAGAACUGGCGCUGUGGGAUGAACCGAACGCUGAGUUACGGCGCCCGAGAGUGACGCUCAUCAGACCCCACAAAAGGUGUUGGUUGCUAUAGACAGCAG